ACGCUCGACACCUACGGGGGCAGCAGUGAGGAAUAUUGGUCAAUGGGCGCUAGCCUGAACCAGCCAAGUAGCGUGAAGGAUGAAGGCUCUAUGGGUCGUAAACUUCUUUUAUAUAAGAAUAAAGUGCAGUAUGUAUACUGUUUUGUAUGUAUUAUAUGAAUAAGGAUCGGCUAACUCCGUGCAAGCAGCCGCGGUAAUCUGAGCGGGCUGGCAAGGC
RNAcentral lists this ribosomal RNA (217 nucleotides) under uncultured bacterium. RNAcentral describes it as "partial 16S ribosomal RNA". It matches the Rfam family "Bacterial small subunit ribosomal RNA", at positions 328 to 539 of the family's 1533-position model. The record is from RNAcentral.